GCAGGCUGCAACUCGCCUGCAUGAAGUCGGAAUUGCUAGUAAUCGCAGAUCAGAAUGCUGCGGUGAAUACGUUCCCGGGUCUUGUACACACCGCCCGUCACACCAUGGGAGUCGGAAAUGCCCGAAGCCGGUGACCAAACCAAUAAGGAAGGAGCCGUCGAAGGCAGGUCUGAUAACUGGGGUGAAGUCGUAACAAGGUAUC
Molecule: ribosomal RNA, 202 nt
Filed under: uncultured bacterium
Lineage: Bacteria
Description: partial 16S ribosomal RNA
Rfam family: Bacterial small subunit ribosomal RNA
Source: RNAcentral